GCGAGGUUAAGUCGAAGAGACGGAGCCGCAGCGAAAGCGAGUCUGAAUAGGGCGAAUGAGUAUGUAGUCGUAGACCCGAAACCAUGUGAUCUACCCAUGUCCAGGUUGAAGGUGCGGUAAAACGCACUGGAGGACCGAACCCACGUACGUUGAAAAGUGCGGGGAUGAGGUGUGGGUAGCGGAGAAAUUCCAAACGAACUUGGAGAUAGCUGGUUCUCUCCGAAAUAGCUUUAGGGCUAGCCUCGGAAUUGAGAAUGAUGGAGGUAGAGCACUGUUUGGACUAGGGGCCCAUCUCGGGUUACCGAAUUCAGAUAAACUCCGAAUGCCAUUCAUUUAUAUCCGGGAGUCAGACUGCGAGUGAUAA
RNAcentral lists this ribosomal RNA (364 nucleotides) under Klebsiella pneumoniae. RNAcentral describes it as "partial 23S ribosomal RNA". It matches the Rfam family "Bacterial large subunit ribosomal RNA", at positions 640 to 1001 of the family's 2925-position model. Lineage: Bacteria; Pseudomonadati; Pseudomonadota; Gammaproteobacteria; Enterobacterales; Enterobacteriaceae. The record is from RNAcentral.